AUGAUGCCAGCUUGAAGAGAGUAGGAGGCUCUAUGACAGGAAGACAGCUUUUUUCCACUGACGAAUUGAAAGGUGGGGAAAGUUUUGGUACUUGCUCACCUGCACAGCAAGUUGAGAGUUCGAAGAAACAGCCCGACUGCAGUGUGUCUGAUCCUAAUGCCAUCAUCACAUCCAUUUUAGCUGAGAUAAAUGAGAAUCAUUCCUUUGAAAAUGUAGUUGGAGAUGCUGAAAUCGAAACUGUAAGUGUUGGUGUUAAACAGCCAUCAGCUGUUUCCACUGAGUCGGAUCUCCUCUCGGAGAAGCAACUACUAGAAAAUGAGCAGGAAAAACAUAGUUCUAAAGCAACACAG
Molecule: unclassified non-coding RNA, 350 nt
Filed under: Hevea brasiliensis (rubber tree)
Lineage: Eukaryota; Viridiplantae; Streptophyta; Magnoliopsida; Malpighiales; Euphorbiaceae
Source: RNAcentral